Molecule: ribosomal RNA, 418 nt
Filed under: Trichoderma cf. harzianum ROG-2010
Lineage: Eukaryota; Fungi; Ascomycota; Sordariomycetes; Hypocreales; Hypocreaceae
Description: eukaryotic LSU rRNA
Rfam family: 5.8S ribosomal RNA (bases 73-226)
Source: RNAcentral
AUACCCCCUCGCGGGUUUUUUAUAAUCUGAGCCUUCUCGGCGCCUCUCGUAGGCGUUUCGAAAAUGAAUCAAAACUUUCAACAACGGAUCUCUUGGUUCUGGCAUCGAUGAAGAACGCAGCGAAAUGCGAUAAGUAAUGUGAAUUGCAGAAUUCAGUGAAUCAUCGAAUCUUUGAACGCACAUUGCGCCCGCCAGUAUUCUGGCGGGCAUGCCUGUCCGAGCGUCAUUUCAACCCUCGAACCCCUCCGGGGGGUCGGCGUUGGGGAUCGGCCCUCCCUUAGCGGGUGGCCGUCUCCGAAAUACAGUGGCGGUCUCGCCGCAGCCUCUCCUGCGCAGUAGUUUGCACACUCGCAUCGGGAGCGCGGCGCGUCCACAGCCGUUAAACACCCAACUUCUGAAAUGUUGACCUCGGAUCAGG